CGAACACGUGCAGAAAAGCCAUCGGGUGCAUUUGGUUCUGUUCAGUCCCACUGCAGUGCUGGGUUUCAUUGCCUCCAGCACAGAUGCUCUGGAAGCGUUUCUCACAGACCGUGCAUCCAGCCAUUACCCUGUGUAUCAGAAGCAGCAUCUCUACAACAGCAACCCAAGCUGGGAUUUUGGAGCCUUCCGAAGGCUGGACCACCUCAUCCAGGAGACUCACCUCAACAUCUCGUGGUUUGCCCAUGUUUUCCUGGAGUCUGGGACAUAUGUUUUCAGGGAUAGGACCAUUCAGGAGCACUUCCUGAUCGUGACUGUGAAUGAAGCAAAUAUGGGUUGUGACCCCCGAGAUGUUUCCUUCCAGCCCUCUUCUCUGUUCCAGCUGGCCAGACAUGGAAUUCUGAAGCAGCAGAACCUGAAUUUGGCUCCUAACUGGGCCACUAUCACAGGUACAGCCAAAACACUGUGAGAGAGGGAAGGACCAGUUGUGCUUCUCCCCACUCCCUGCUUGAAGAAUUCAAGUGAGGGCUUUGUUUCCCUUGGCUUGAAGGCAGAAAGUGCCAGUGUUUUAGUGCUAAACUCAGCUGAAAUGAAAGGCAUCAUUUAAAAGAUCACUCGGGGCUAAAUACGAGGACAGUUGAGGUCUUUCCUCAAAGCUGUGCACAUACCAGUCCUGUGUCCAUCAGUGAGAGGACAGGAAAGCAAUAGAAAUGAAAGUGUGGCUUGCAUCCUCUGUGCUGUCCCUCUUGGCUUUCCCAGCAGUUCUCUUUGUCCUGGGCUCCCUAAUUGUGGUGCUGGCAACCCUGGCUGUAGUGUUCCAGCCUGCUGUGCCCAUCAUCAGCCCCCUGAAGGCCUGGAAGCCACGAUGGAGGAGCCUGGGCGAGCCACACAUCCCACCGGAGUACAUCCUCCUUAAAGACAGCCUUCAGUUCUAUCAGACAGUCGGUCCUCAUGCUUCUGGAGAAGAUGCUGACUUUGAAGAGAAGGGAGCUGUGCAUAAUGCAGAAGAGCGGUUGACACGGAGGCUCCUGGAGGAUUUCAGUGUUCGCACCCUCUACGAUAAGCUGGAAGAUCAGAACUUGCAUCUGGCAUCUCAGCUGGCCAAGCACAGGAUGGACGUGCUGGUGUUCUACAAUGGAGUCAGCCAGCAGAUCCGGAGUCUCAUGGACAUGCUGCAAGCACUGGACACUGAAGACUUGAAAAGGGCUCGUGAGCACAGACCUGCAGAGAGCAGCAGGGCAGCAGCAUGUGCUGAACAGUGUGAUGGGCACUGUGGACACGACUUCCAAGCAGGCGCUCCAUGGCAAGAGGCAACAGAGUUAAUGAAAGCUCUGGAGAUGCUGCUGGGGAAUGCUCUGUACAAGAGUGCAUCCUUGAAGCGAGCUGUGGAGCAGAAGGUCCAAGGGCAGGAUGUGGUGGCAGCUGUGCCCUCCCUGGACAGCCUGGCCAGUGAAGGUAAAUCAGGAGGAAUGGAAGGGCAGGGUCAUGAGCUGCCUCAGCAGUGGGAGCUCUUCACUGGGAACAAUGUUUUUUUCAGCUUCCCUGGGCAUGAAGAACAAGGUAAAGGCAAUGACUUCUUGUCCUGGGUUUGGCUGGGAUAGAGUUAGUGCUCUUCCUAUGCUGUGCUUUGAAUUUAGUGUGGGAAUAACGCUGGUAACACACCGAUGGUUUAGUUGUUGCUCUGUAGCACUUACUCAGUGGCAAGAACAUCUGUGUUCCAUGCCCUGCCAGUGAGGAGCACGAGAAGCCAGGAGGUAGCAGAGCCAGAACCUGAAUUAGCCCAAGGGAUAUUCCAUACCAUGGAACAUCAUGCUCAGGAUAGAAACUGGGG
This is a long non-coding RNA of Melopsittacus undulatus (budgerigar), 1828 nucleotides long. The record is from Ensembl. Lineage: Eukaryota; Metazoa; Chordata; Aves; Psittaciformes; Psittaculidae.